Molecule: RNA transcript, 2761 nt
Organism: Pangasianodon hypophthalmus (striped catfish)
Lineage: Eukaryota; Metazoa; Chordata; Actinopteri; Siluriformes; Pangasiidae
Gene: ptpn2b
Gene name: protein tyrosine phosphatase non-receptor type 2b
Exons: 11
Source: RefSeq, a predicted model, not a curated record
CGAGCAGCAGCGUCCGCGGAUCUACAACGCAUCCUUUCCCGGAAGUGGCGCGCGUUUAAUGUUUGUGCGUCAGCGCUAAAGUCAGCGUUUAGUCAAAACUCCAACGCCGUCGCGUUUUUUUUUUCACCACAGAUGUCAACUUGGAUACGUUUGUUUUCCAAGCCCAUGGCUGAAAACACGAGUGAUCAUUUUGUAUAGUAAUGUUUAUUUUUUUAACUAAAAAUCAAUCAAGUUAACUGACAGAAGUCCUGUAAAGGGAAGGGAAAAAUGGACCACGAAUUUGAGGACAUGGAUUCAGAAGGCCGGUGGCAAAACCUCUACAUAGAAAUCCGUAACCAGUCUCAGGAAUGUCCUUUCAAAGUGGCGAAGUAUCCAGAGAACCGCAACCGUAACAGAUACAGGGAUGUCAGCCCCUUUGAUCACAGCCGAGUGAAACUGGGGAACUCGGAGAACGACUACAUCAACGCGAGCCUGGUGCCCGUGGAAGAAGCCCAAAGAAGCUACAUACUAACUCAGGGCCCUCUCAGAAACACUUGUGGUCAUUUCUGGCUGAUGAUCUGGGAACAGAAAACGAAAGCAGUCAUCAUGCUGAACAGAGUGAUUGAGAAAGGCUCGGAGAAGUGUGCGCAGUACUGGCCGACGCAGGAGGAGCACGAGAUGGCGUUUCGGGACACGCGCUUUGUCGUGCGGCUGCUAUCAGAGGACGUUAAGUCUUACUACACCACACGUUUACUGGAGCUGCAGAACGCAAACACGGGGGAGAAGAGAGAAAUCUACCACUUUCAUUACACCACAUGGCCUGACUUUGGCGUCCCAGAAUCCCCGGCGUCCUUCCUCAACUUCCUGUUUAAGGUGCGCGAGUCGGGAUCGUUAGGGGCGGAUCACGGGCCGGCGGUGGUGCACUGCAGCGCAGGGAUCGGCCGAUCCGGAACCUUCUCCCUCGUCGACACCUGUCUCGUCCUGAUGGAUAAAAGGAAAGACUCGUCCUCGGUGGACAUUAAGAAGGUGCUGCUGGACAUGAGGAGGUACAGGAUGGGUCUGAUUCAGACUCCUGACCAGCUCCGCUUCUCCUACAUGGCCGUGCUGGAGGGGGCCAAGUGCAUCAUGGGAGAUUCAUCAGUACAGAAACGGUGGCAGGAGCUCUCCAGAGAGGAUCAGGUGUGUGUGUCCGAGUCUCCGUCUCCACCCAAAUGUCCAUCAGAGCGCUACAACGGCACCCGGAAGCUCCGAGCGGACGACACGGGGGAGACGGAGGGAGCGAAAAAAACGACAAAAGACGAAAGAGAAGCAGACGGAGACACGUGCACGACGAACGCGCGCAAGAGACAGAGAGACGAGAAGAUCUCCAUUUCUGCACAGAAAACUCCUCAGAAGCAGCCGAAGCCCAGGACAAACGAGGCGGAGAAGAAGAGGAAAAGCCUGGGCUGCAUCUGCUGUACAUGACAAAGCGAACUCUGACCCCUCCGCUCUCCCGGCCGAGGCCGAGGCCGAGGCGGCGCCGCGAGUCUGGGCUCACCCGGGCCUCUGUGCACAAACCCCAGGCUAGCGAGAACGACCAGCGACACCUAACGCCUCGGCAACCACAGCAGGGAUCUCCAGACCAUAAUACUCCUCUACACUGUUUACAGCAUGGACUCUGAGCAGCGAGUGUGUCCUCAUCCCAACACACACACACACACACACACCAGCAGAGCAGCGCUGGACUCGAGCACACUGCCGUGGCUUUGAUCUUGGUCUCAAUUCUAAUUAUUAUAUCUAUUUUUUUAUUUUAUUUGAAUUUUCGCAGAAUCUGAUGUUGUAGUUCUAUGCAUCACCGAUUUGUAACAUCGUAUUUUUUAUUAGACGACCACGUUAUUUCUGAAAUACUCUAUUUUUUUAUAUCAGAGACGACUUCGAAGAUUCGCUCGCAUCCGAGACCUGCUGCGCUUUUAAAGGUACUUCGGUACGGCGGAAUUAAACGCAAGUAUUUUUGAUAAGACGACGUGUUCGCUUUAUGAGGAACAACAGAAAACGAAAAAAAAAGUCUUACGAAUUUCCUCUUUAGUGAAAUAAAGGAACGCUGCAUUGUCUAGUUUGUGUAUCAGUGGCAUGCGUUAUCGUCUCAUUGUCACGUUAUAUUAAAACUCUUUUUUUUUUUUUUUUUUUUAAAGCGAAUAAACGUCCGGCAGAGUGUUACUGAACGGGGGAGGGGAUAUGCAAAUGAGUAUGAAUAUGCAAAUGAGUAUGUUCAUUAUGUCUUAUUAUUGCACCAUAAUCCACCUCUUUAUUUAUACUUCAUUUCAACACACACACACACACACACAGCUCUCUAGGGCUAUUCCUUUAAAAAUGACAUUUAAUUUCAUCUACUUUAAACCUUUUACAUUGGAAUGCAUUUGCAUAUUAAUGAGUGUUUAUAAUGUUAGCUACACUGUGUUUAAAUCACACCAUGUACAUAGAAAGUACAUUUUUAAAGAAAAGCGAAGAAAAAAUAAUAAUUUUCUUGUCAGUUUUAUUGUUUUAGAUUAGAUUUUAUGGAUUUCCCACCAGAAAUGUUUUAUUUUCAUUGACGUCACGUUCAUUUCUAUCCCGAGUUUAACAUAAAAAUCCAAACAAAUGAACAAAUUCAAAUUAUUCACUAUAGAUGCUCCCUACCUAGUGCACGAUGUGCCUGAUAGCCGUUUGAGAUUCAGCCGAACUUAUCUACAGCUCCAGUUAGAGCCUGUUUAAUACUUACUUUAUUAUUUUAUUAUGUGAGAAAUAAAUACGCUAUUUAUUUACA